GAAGCGAAGCGGUGACGUGGAGCAAACCUCAGAAAGCCAAUCUCAGUUCGGAUUGUAGGCUGCAACUCGCCUACAUGAAGUUGGAAUCGCUAGUAAUCGCGAAUCAGAAUGUCGCGGUGAAUACGUUCCCGGGUCUUGUACACACCGCCCGUCACACCACGAGAGUUUACAACACCCGAAGUCAGUGGCCUAACCGUAAGGAGGGAGCUGCCUAAGGUGGGGUAGAUGAUUGGGGUGAAGUCGUAACAAGGUAAC
Molecule: ribosomal RNA, 255 nt
Filed under: uncultured bacterium
Lineage: Bacteria
Description: partial 16S ribosomal RNA
Rfam family: Bacterial small subunit ribosomal RNA
Source: RNAcentral